Molecule: long non-coding RNA, 307 nt
Organism: Amyelois transitella
Lineage: Eukaryota; Metazoa; Arthropoda; Insecta; Lepidoptera; Pyralidae
Exons: 3
Source: RefSeq, a predicted model, not a curated record
UUUGUUUCUGAUACUCUUCUUACGUGCAACUCCUCUGGAUCUCGUUCUGGUUCUUUUUGCAGGUUAAUCCGAUGUUCGAGUAGUAAGAUAUAUUUCCAGUAAAUUCUUCUUAUCGAAUUUUUGAAACCAGAAUGUCUCCAUGCAUAUAUAAGAGGAUCAAACAAGCUGUUGGUGAUUCCUAACAAAUAGAGAGGCCCCAAGGUCAGCAUCUCCAAAGUUUUCACAGCUCUGUGUAGGAUACAAAUGUACAGUACACAAACUAUAAUGAUGAUAGAUAAAACAACUAUUGACACGACGAUGAGUAAGG